UACGUAGGGGGCAAGCGUUGUCCGGAUUUAUUGGGCGUAAAGAGCGUGUAGGCGGCCAGAUAGGUCCGUUGUGAAAACUCGAGGCUCAACCUCAAGACGCCGAUGGAAACCACUUGGCUAGAGUCCGGAAGAGGAGAGUGGAAUUCCUGGUGUAGCGGUGAAAUGCGCAGAUAUCAGGAGGAACACCGGUGGCGAAGGCGGGUCUCUGGGCAACAACUGACGCUGAGGAGCGAAAGCGUGGGGAGCGAACAGG
RNAcentral lists this ribosomal RNA (253 nucleotides) under uncultured bacterium. RNAcentral describes it as "partial 16S ribosomal RNA". It matches the Rfam family "Bacterial small subunit ribosomal RNA", at positions 524 to 776 of the family's 1533-position model. The record is from RNAcentral.